UACGUAGGGCGCAAGCGUUAUCCGGAAUUAUUGGGCGUAAAGAGCUCGUAGGCGGCCUGUCGCGUCGGAUGUGAAAGCCCGCGGCUCAACCGCGGGCUUGCAGUCGAUACGGGCAGGCUAGAGUUUGGUAGGGGAGACUGGAAUUCCUGGUGUAGCGGUGAAAUGCGCAGAUAUCAGGAGGAACACCGGUGGCGAAGGCGGGUCUCUGGGCCAAUACUGACGCUGAGGAGCGAAAGCGUGGGGAGCGAACAGG
Molecule: ribosomal RNA, 253 nt
Filed under: uncultured bacterium
Lineage: Bacteria
Description: partial 16S ribosomal RNA
Rfam family: Bacterial small subunit ribosomal RNA
Source: RNAcentral